This 85-nucleotide transfer RNA is filed under the name Felis catus (domestic cat). It matches the Rfam family "tRNA". Rfam says of the family: Transfer RNA (tRNA) molecules are approximately 80 nucleotides in length. Lineage: Eukaryota; Metazoa; Chordata; Mammalia; Carnivora; Felidae. The record is from Rfam by way of RNAcentral.
GCCUCGGUGGCUCAGUCGGUUGAGUGUCCAACUUUGGCUCAGGUCAUGAUCUUGCAGUUUGUGGGUUCGAGCCCCACUUCGGGCU